UACGUAGGUGGCAAGCGUUAUCCGGAAUUACUGGGCGUAAAGCGCACGCAGGCGGUCUUGUAAGUUUGACGUGAAAGCUCUCGGCUUAACUGGGAGAGGUCGUUGAAUACUGCAAGACUUGAGUUUAGGAGAGGGGUGUAGAAUUCCCGGUGUAGUGGUGGAAUGCGUAGAUAUCGGGGGGAAUACCAGUGGCGAAAGCGGCACCCUAGCCUUUGACUGACGCUCAUGUGCGAAAGCGUGGGGAGCGAACGGG
Molecule: ribosomal RNA, 253 nt
Filed under: uncultured Caldilinea sp.
Lineage: Bacteria; Bacillati; Chloroflexota; Caldilineae; Caldilineales; Caldilineaceae
Description: partial 16S ribosomal RNA
Rfam family: Bacterial small subunit ribosomal RNA
Source: RNAcentral